Molecule: ribosomal RNA, 867 nt
Filed under: uncultured Parvimonas sp.
Lineage: Bacteria; Bacillati; Bacillota; Tissierellia; Tissierellales; Peptoniphilaceae
Description: bacterial SSU rRNA
Rfam family: Bacterial small subunit ribosomal RNA
Source: RNAcentral
GACGAACGCUGGCGGCGUGCUUAACACAUGCAAGUCGAACGUGAUUUUUGUGGAAAUUCUUUCGGGAAUGGAAAUGAAAUGAAAGUGGCGAACGGGUGAGUAACACGUGAGCAACCUACCUUACACAGGGGGAUAGCCGUUGGAAACGACGAUUAAUACCGCAUGAGACCACAGAAUCGCAUGAUAUAGGGGUCAAAGAUUUAUCGGUGUAAGAAGGGCUCGCGUCUGAUUAGCUAGUUGGAAGGGUAAAGGCCUACCAAGGCGACGAUCAGUAGCCGGUCUGAGAGGAUGAACGGCCACAUUGGAACUGAGACACGGUCCAAACUCCUACGGGAGGCAGCAGUGGGGAAUAUUGCACAAUGGGGGGAACCCUGAUGCAGCGACGCCGCGUGAGCGAAGAAGGUUUUCGAAUCGUAAAGCUCUGUCCUAUGAGAAGAUAAUGACGGUAUCAUAGGAGGAAGCCCCGGCUAAAUACGUGCCAGCAGCCGCGGUAAUACGUAUGGGGCGAGCGUUGUCCGGAAUUAUUGGGCGUAAAGGGUACGUAGGCGGUUUUUUAAGUCAGGUGUGAAAGCGUGAGGCUUAACCUCAUUAAGCACUUGAAACUGGAAGACUUGAGUGAAGGAGAGGAAAGUGGAAUUCCUAGUGUAGCGGUGAAAUGCGUAUAUAUUAGGAGGAAAUACCGGUGGCGAAGGCGACUUUCUGGACUUUACUGACGCUCAGGUACGAAAGCGUGGGGAGCAAACAUGAUUAUAUACCCUGGUGGUCCAAGGGCGAAUUCCACGUGGAUAUCAGGCUUAUCGAUACCGUCGACCUCGAGGGGGAGAAAAGGUAUCCAGUUUUGUUCCCUUUUGUGGUGGUUUAUUAAUG